CAAAGGGAAAAGAAAAGGGUGUACAACAGAGCAAAGGGAAAAGAAGCUCCACACGUUGAACAUUGAUUUGAUGUGUCAAUAUUGAUAGAGGGUCACGUGGGAAAGGUUCAUAGAGGUACAGUACUUCCAUGACUUUAUGCAUGUAGGAAGUCCUCUUUUGUAAGGGCUGUGUCAGAAGGACACAUGCGUAUGUGGGUUGAAAGGAUUGAGAUCCCGUGCAAUACCUAGGGUAUUGCACGGGGUGCAAUAGCUUAAAUCCUAGCCUUCCAUUCAAUCUAAUGGCUCUAAAAUACCUCCACGUCAUCGAUCCGCGUCACUUAGGAAAAAAAAAUUUUAAUUCACUCUCAUUCCUUUUUCUCUCAUUUUUUUUUUCUUCUGUUCAUCUCUCUCUCUCCAACUUUUCACUCCGCAGUCCUCUCCUCUGUUCUCUCUAAUUCUCAAAAUUUUCAAAAAAUCCUGAUGUUGCUGACUUGCUUUUGCCGCUACCACUCUCACGCCAAACCACCGUCAUCGCCACCAUGGCGCCACUUACCAGCCACCAUUUCUCUCCCCCAACGAUCUAUCAACCCCUGCUAUGCCUCUGUCGGCUCCACUGCCUAGCAUCUCCAAUCUGCACCGCCGGCCCAAUCACUUCCCAGAUGAUAGAGCAUAGAGCUCCAGCCAAGCUAUAUUGCCAGAAAAGGUUUUGAAGCAUUCCUUAUGGAUUGAUAUCUUGAUGCUAGCAAGACUAAUUUUCAGUGUCAUUAAAUUUUUAGACUUGAUAUGAAUGAACUUCUUUUUACUUCGAAACAUGUAAUGAGACAAAAAAGACUUGCUUGAGUUUUAUGUUGUAUCAUUCAAUUUUGACACUUGAGUGUCCCUGUUUAUGUAUACAAAAACCCUUACAAUGAUGUAUAGUACAAACCAAGAGAAUGUAAUAAAGUGCAAUUAUUCUUUUCUUGAUA
Quercus lobata is the source of this 944-nucleotide long non-coding RNA. RefSeq lists it as uncharacterized. The transcript has 3 exons. The record is from RefSeq and is a predicted model, not a curated record. NCBI's taxonomy places the organism in Eukaryota, Viridiplantae, Streptophyta, Magnoliopsida, Fagales, Fagaceae.